This 77-nucleotide transfer RNA is filed under the name Rhodospirillales bacterium. RNAcentral's name for it is "tRNA-Pro". It matches the Rfam family "tRNA". From Rfam's summary of the family: Transfer RNA (tRNA) molecules are approximately 80 nucleotides in length. Their secondary structure includes four short double-helical elements and three loops (D, anti-codon, and T loops). Lineage: Bacteria; Pseudomonadati; Pseudomonadota; Alphaproteobacteria; Rhodospirillales. The record is from RNAcentral.
CGGGGAGUGGCGCAGCCUGGUAGCGCACCAGCCUUGGGCGCUGGGGGUCGUGGGUUCGAAUCCCGCCUCCCCGACCA